GGCUUGUUGGUGUAAUGGUAACACAUUCCGUGUACCUUGUGAAAUGUUUGCAUAUUGUUUGACGGAAAGUCCGGAGUUCGAUUCUCCGUCAAGCUA
Molecule: non-coding RNA, 96 nt
Organism: Mycena latifolia
Lineage: Eukaryota; Fungi; Basidiomycota; Agaricomycetes; Agaricales; Mycenaceae
Source: the annotation of a GenBank genome assembly